AGGAUAACCAGAGACUCUGAGACACG
Molecule: non-coding RNA, 26 nt
Filed under: Cricetulus griseus (Chinese hamster)
Lineage: Eukaryota; Metazoa; Chordata; Mammalia; Rodentia; Cricetidae
Source: RNAcentral